This 468-nucleotide ribosomal RNA is filed under the name uncultured bacterium. RNAcentral's name for it is "partial 16S ribosomal RNA". It matches the Rfam family "Bacterial small subunit ribosomal RNA", at positions 28 to 507 of the family's 1533-position model. The record is from RNAcentral.
GACGAACGCUGGCGGCGUGCUUAACACAUGCAAGUCGAACGGAAAGGCCCUGCUUUUGUGGGGUGCUCGAGUGGCGAACGGGUGAGUAACACGUGAGUAACCUGCCCUUGACUUUUGGAUAACUUCAGGAAACUGGGGCUAAUACCGGAUAGGAGCUCCUGCUGCAUGGUGGGGGUUGGAAAGUUUCGGCGGUUGGGGAUGGACUCGCGGCUUAUCAGCUUGUUGGUGGGGUAGUGGCUUACCAAGGCUUUGACGGGUAGCCGGCCUGAGAGGGUGACCGGCCACAUUGGGACUGAGAUACGGCCCAGACUCAUACGGGAGGCAGCAGUGGGGAAUAUUGCACAAUGGGCGGAAGCCUGAUGCAGCAACGCCGCGUGCGGGAUGAAGGCCUUCGGGUUGUAAACCGCUUUCGCCUGUGACGAAGCGUGAGUGACGGUAAUGGGUAAAGAAGCACCGGCUAACUACGUG